UGCGAAUGGCUCAUUAAAUCAGUUAUCGUUUAUUUGAUAGUACCUUACUACUUGGAUAACCGUGGUAAUUCUAGAGCUAAUACAUGCUAAAAAUCCCGACCUCUGGAAGGGAUGUAUUUAUUAGAUAAAAAACCAAUGCCUUCGGGCUUCUUGGUGAUUCAUGAUAACUUUACGAAUCGCAUGGCCUUGUGCCGGCGAUGGUUCAUUCAAAUUUCUGCCCUAUCAACUUUCGAUGGUAGGAUAGUGGCCUACCAUGGUUUCAACGGGUAACGGGGAAUUAGGGUUCGAUUCCGGAGAGGGAGCCUGAGAAACGGCUACCACAUCCAAGGAAGGCAGCAGGCGCGCAAAUUACCCAAUCCCGACACGGGGAGGUAGUGACAAUAAAUACUGAUACAGGGCCCUUUCGGGUCUUGUAAUUGGAAUGAGUACAAUUUAAACCCUUUAACGAGGAACAAUUGGAGGGCAAGUCUGGUGCCAGCAGCCGCGGUAAUUCCAGCUCCAAUAGCGUAUAUUAAAGUUGUUGCAGUUAAAAAGCUCGUAGUUGAACUUUGGGUCUGGGUGACUGGUCUGCGUCUACCGCAUGUACUGGAAACCCGGAUCUUUCCUUCUGGAGAACCGCAUGCACUUUACUGGGUGUGCCGGGGAACCAGGACUUUUACUUUGAAAAAAUUAGAGUGUUCAAAGCAGGCAUUUGCUCGAAUACAUUAGCAUGGAAUAAUAAAAUAGGACGUGCGGUUCUAUUUUGUUGGUUUCUAGGACCGCCGUAAUGAUUAAUAGGGAUAGUCGGGGGCAUCCGUAUUCGAUUGUCAGAGGUGAAAUUCUUGGAUUUUUCGAAGACGAACUACUGCGAAAGCAUUUGCCAAGGAUGUUUUCAUUAAUCAGGAACGAAAGUUGAGGGAUCGAAGACGAUCAGAUACCGUCGUAGUCUCAACCAUAAACUAUGCCGACUAGGGAUUGGGCGACUGUGUUAUUUGAGUUGCUCAGCACCUUACGAGAAAUUAAAGUUUUUGGGUUCUGGGGGGAGUAUGGUCGCAAGGCUGAAACUUAAAGGAAUUGACGGAAGGGCACCACCAGGAGUGGAGCCUGCGGCUUAAUUUGACUCAACACGGGGAAACUCACCAGGUCCAGACACAUUAAGGAUUGACAGAUUGAGAGCUCUUUCUUGAUCAUGUGGGUGGUGGUGCAUGGCCGUUCUUAGUUGGUGGAGUGAUUUGUCUGCUUAAUUGCGAUAACGAACGAGACCUUAACCUGCUAAAUAGCUGGGCUCGCUUUCGCGGGUUCUUGGCU
This 1287-nucleotide ribosomal RNA is filed under the name Lamprospora sp. 'miniata agg.'. Its description in RNAcentral is "SSU rRNA". It matches the Rfam family "Eukaryotic small subunit ribosomal RNA", at positions 88 to 1386 of the family's 1831-position model. The record is from RNAcentral. Lineage: Eukaryota; Fungi; Ascomycota; Pezizomycetes; Pezizales; Pyronemataceae.